This 725-nucleotide ribosomal RNA is filed under the name uncultured Alphaproteobacteria bacterium. Its description in RNAcentral is "bacterial SSU rRNA". It matches the Rfam family "Bacterial small subunit ribosomal RNA", at positions 117 to 879 of the family's 1533-position model. Lineage: Bacteria; Pseudomonadati; Pseudomonadota; Alphaproteobacteria. The record is from RNAcentral.
GUAGGUAUCUGCCCUUUGGCCUGGAAUAACACGAGGAAACUUGUGCUAAUACCGGAUAAGUCUUUACGGAGAAAGCUUUAUGCACCAUUGGAUGAGCCUGCACUUGAUUAGUUUGUUGGUGGGGUAAUGGCCUACCAAGACUGUGAUCAAUAGCUGAUUUGAGAGGAUGAUCAGCCACAUUGGGACUGAGACACGGCCCAAACUCCUACGGGAGGCAGCAGUGGGGAAUCUUGCACAAUGGAGGAAACUCUGAUGCAGCGAUGCCGCGUGAGUGAAGAAGGCCCUUGGGUUGUAAAGCUCUUUCGUCGGGGAAGAAAAUGACUGUACCCGAAUAAGAAGGUCCGGCUAACUUCGUGCCAGCAGCCGCGGUAAUACGAAGGGACCUAGCGUAGUUCGGAAUUACUGGGCUUAAAGAGUUCGUAGGUGGUUGAAAAAGUUAGUGGUGAAAUCCCAGAGCUUAACUCUGGAACUGCCAUUAAAACUUUUCAGCUAGAGUAUGAUAGAGGAAAGCAGAAUUUCUAGUGUAGAGGUGAAAUUCGUAGAUAUUAGAAAGAAUACCAAUUGCGAAGGCAGCUUUCUGGAUCAUUACUGACACUGAGGAACGAAAGCAUGGGUAGCGAAGAGGAUUAGAUACCCUCGUAGUCCAUGCCGUAAACGAUGUGUGUUAGACGUUGGAAAUUUAUUUUCAGUGUCGCAGCGAAAGCGAUAAACACACCGCCCUGGGA